This 426-nucleotide ribosomal RNA is filed under the name uncultured Actinomycetes bacterium. Its description in RNAcentral is "bacterial SSU rRNA". It matches the Rfam family "Bacterial small subunit ribosomal RNA", at positions 958 to 1385 of the family's 1533-position model. Lineage: Bacteria; Bacillati; Actinomycetota; Actinomycetes. The record is from RNAcentral.
AACGCGAAGAACCUUACCUGGGUUGAACUACGCAGGAAAAGCCGUAGAGAUACGGUGUCCGAAAGGGCCUGCGAUAGGUGGUGCAUGGCUGUCGUCAGCUCGUGUCGUGAGAUGUUGGGUUAAGUCCCGCAACGAGCGCAACCCUUGUCCUGUGUUGCCAGCGGAUAAUGCCGGGGACUCGCAGGAGACUGCCGGGGUCAACUCGGAGGAAGGUGGGGACGAAGUCAAGUCAUCAUGCCCCUUACGUCCAGGGCUGCACACAUGCUACAAUGGCCGGUACAAAGGGCUGCUAUUCCGCGAGGAUGAGCGAAUCCCAAAAAGCCGGUCUCAGUUCGGAUCGGAGUCUGCAACUCGACUCCGUGAAGUCGGAGUCGCUAGUAAUCCCGGAUCAGCAACGCCGGGGUGAAUACGUUCCCGGGCCUUGUA